RNAcentral lists this ribosomal RNA (496 nucleotides) under uncultured bacterium. Its description in RNAcentral is "partial 16S ribosomal RNA". It matches the Rfam family "Bacterial small subunit ribosomal RNA", at positions 29 to 507 of the family's 1533-position model. The record is from RNAcentral.
AUGAACGCUGGCGGCGUGCCUAAUACAUGCAAGUCGAGCGAACAGACGAGGAGCUUGCUCCUCUGACGUUAGCGGCGGACGGGUGAGUAACACGUGGAUAACCUACCUAUAAGACUGGGAUAACUUCGGGAAACCGGAGCUAAUACCGGAUAAUAUAUUGAACCGCAUGGUUCAAUAGUGAAAGACGGUUUUGCUGUCACUUAUAGAUGGAUCCGCGCCGCAUUAGCUAGUUGGUAAGGUAACGGCUUACCAAGGCGACGAUGCGUAGCCGACCUGAGAGGAGGAUCGCCCACACGAGAACGGAGACGGGGACAAGGCGACUGAGGGAGGGCGCAGAGGGGUAUCUCCGGCAAUGGGGGGAAUUUUGGCGAAACAGGCCCGAGUGUGUUACAAAGGCCUCGGGUGCGAAAAGACUGUUUUUGGGGAAAAAAAAGCUUUAGCCUAAGAUGACGCGGUCUUGACGGUAAUGAAUAAAAAAGCACCGGCUAACUACGUG